UACGUAGGGUGCGAGCGUUGUCCGGAAUUAUUGGGCGUAAAGAGCUCGUAGGCGGCCUGUCGCGUCGGAUGUGAAAGCCCGGGGCUUAACCCCGGGUCUGCAUUCGAUACGGGCAGGCUAGAGUUCGGUAGGGGAGAUCGGAAUUCCUGGUGUAGCGGUGAAAUGCGCAGAUAUCAGGAGGAACACCGGUGGCGAAGGCGGAUCUCUGGGCCGAUACUGACGCUGAGGAGCGAAAGCGUAGGGAGCGAACAGG
RNAcentral lists this ribosomal RNA (253 nucleotides) under uncultured bacterium. RNAcentral's name for it is "partial 16S ribosomal RNA". It matches the Rfam family "Bacterial small subunit ribosomal RNA", at positions 524 to 776 of the family's 1533-position model. The record is from RNAcentral.